Long non-coding RNA from Mercenaria mercenaria, 1013 nucleotides. RefSeq lists it as uncharacterized. The record is from RefSeq and is a predicted model, not a curated record. NCBI's taxonomy places the organism in Eukaryota, Metazoa, Mollusca, Bivalvia, Venerida, Veneridae. The transcript has 8 exons.
CAGAAAAGGAAUGUUCGAAAUUUGGAAAGGAAAAUUUGUAUAGGAGAACAAAUUAGCGAAAAUAAGUCAUUCCACGUGAUGACAGUCACUAUCAGCGGUCUAAUUCAAAAGGGAAUAAUGAAAACUUACUUCAGUGCCAUGUGUGAAGUGACAGUAAAGCAGAAUAGCUACAGACCAUGAAUUGAGAAAUGAAAAUAUGCAGAUGUAAAUGUAUAACAUGGUGUAUGUGGGAAACAUAGCGGACAGGAAGCAAGUAAGAUAAUGUGAAGUAACAGUAACACAGAAUGGCUAGAGACCAUUAACUUCAGAACUGAAGAGAUGCAGGUCUUUAAUCUAUAUGGCGAAUGAUGGAACCAUGGUGGAGUUUUGGAUUUAUAAGGUGUGAAGUUACAGGAAAGCAGAAUAGCUACAAACCAUGAUAUUUAGAAAUGAAGAGAUGCAUGUCUUUGUUCAGCAUGGUGUAUAUGGGAAACAUUGUGGAUGGCAGACAUGAAAUGAUUUAUGCGAAGUAACAGAAAAGCAGAAUGGCUACAGACUUUCAAUUCAGAAUUGAAGAGAUGCAGUUCUUUGUUCUAUAUGGUGUAUGGGGGAACCAUGGUGGAAAUUUGGAUUUCAUGGCAGUCAUAGAAAUAUCUAAUAAGUCUAUAGGACAGUGACGUGUGUACCAGUUUGUCAGGCUAUCACAUGUCUGUCCAGGUGACAAAUUCGCUAUGGAUGCAUAGAUUCUCAAAUAAUUUGGCAGAACUUUUCACAGUCAUAAAGACAUAUAUCAAAAGGUUUUUAGAGGAAGAUAUGAGGUAGAGCUCUACAGUUUUCCAUAAACACACCAAGAAGUUCACAUUUUUUUGCACAGAUUUGUGUUCCACAUGACAGUAUUGCCUUGAAGGAAUUAUAAAAGGAAAAGGGUAAAGAAGAUAUAGCCAAACUAACACCUUCCCAAGGAUUCGAAGCAGCAACCUUCUGAUAGAAAAAUUUACCUGUUGUGUAAACAGGAUGAGCUGGCAUGAUAAAAG